GGUCUGAUGUUCCUACUCCAUUAGGUGAAUGACUUGGCUCAAGUGCUGAUGAAGGGCGUGGCAAGCUGCGAUAAGUUCCAGUGAAGUGCACGCAACUUUUGAGCUGGAAAUCCCUGAAUGAGACUUCUCAUUAGAUCUGAAAAGAUAGGGAACCCAGGGAAUUGAAACAUCUUAGUACCUGGAGGAAAAGAAAUUAAUAAAGAUGUCGUGAGUAUCAGCGAGAAAAAACGACAUAGAGCAAACUGAAUCUUUUUUAGAAAUAAAAAAGAAAUGUAGUGUAAUAGGACCUUACUUAUGAUCUGAGUUAGAUUUAGUCAAAGUUCUUUGGAAAAAGAUACCUAAGAGGGUGAUAGUCCCGUAGAUUAAACUAACAGACUUAUAAGGUAUCCUGAGUAGCGCUCAUUGGAUAUUGGGCGUGAAUUUGGGAGAUAUUAACUUCCAACUCUAAAUACUACUUGAGACCGAUAGCAAAAAGUACUGCGAAGGAAAGUUGAAAAGAACCUUUAACAUGGAGUGAAAAGAACCUGAAACCUAAUGGAUACAGAAUGAUACUAUUCUUCGGAAUUGUAUCGUGCGUUUCGAAUAACGAGCCAGGGAGUGCAUUUAAGUGGCGAGAGUAAAAAUUUUACAAUUUGUACUCGCAAGGAAACUAAAAAUCUGCAUUUCACGAAAGAGAUUAGGUAUGAAAGUGCCUAGAGUCACUUGAAUGCGACCUGAAUCCAGUCGAUCUAUCCCAGAGUAAGGUGAAGCAGGGGUAAAACCUUGUGGAGGCCUGAAGCAGUUCUAGUGUAAAUCUGUUUGUAUAACUUUGGAUUAGGGGUGAAAAGCCAAUCGAGACUGGUUAUAGCUGGUUCCUGUCGAAAUAGGCCUUAGUCUAGUCUUGAAUGAGGUAGUUGGAAUUGUAGAGCUACGGAUUUAGGAGCAAGGGGAAGAAAUUCCUCCCUUCUUUGUCCAACUCCGAAUGUUCUAACAUCAUAGAAUUCAGGAAAAAGCGGCGUGGGAUAAGCUCAUGUUGCAAGAGGGGAACAACCCAGACUAUAGUUAAGGUCCCUAAAUACUGGUUAAGUGUCAAAGGGUAAAAGGUGUAUAUAACCAGAGACAUGAGGGAGGUAUGCUUAGAAGCAGCAAUCCUUUAAAGAAAGCGUAAUAGCUCACCUUUCAAGGUUAUACGCCCUGAAGAUGGACGGGGCUAAAUCAGUUACCGAUACUAUAGACUAGUUUAAAAAACUAAGUGGUAGGCAGGCGCUUUAUUAGGGUAGAAGCUUUUUCAAAAGAAAAAGUGGACCUAAUAAAAUUGAGAAUCCUGGUAGUAGUAGGAGCAAUAUAGGGUAAGACUCCCUAAUAUCUGAAGAGUAAGGGUUUCUUAGCAAUGCAAAUCAGCUAAGAGUAAGUUAAUCCUAACCAAAGGCCUAACAGGUCUUCGGGAAUGGGAAAAAGGUUAAUAUUCCUUUACUGUUUAAGUACAUGUGGCAACACAAAUUUAAUUUCAGACGCUUUGGGCUAAAUCAAUAUCUAUUGUCGUAGAUAUUAAUUAGAGCAAAUCAAGGAAGUACUGUAAUGGUGAGAACUUGAUUAAUUCUAAGAAUAGUAGGCCUUAUGGUUUAUUUGAUUGAUGCCUUGAGCCCGUGAAAAUGAAAUUAAUUGAAUCUUGAACAAUUAUACCCAGAACCAACACAGGUACUCUAGGUGAGAAGCCUAAGAUAAGAUGGUCUAAACUAACUAAGGGAAAUCGGCAAUUUAGUUCCGUAUCUUUGGUAGAAGGAAUCCCUGCGGUUGUGGUCUUAUGAUUGCAAUUACAGGGCUCAGUAACAAGGCGGGUCCGACUGUUUAACAAAAACGCAACGUCUCGCAAGACAGCAAUGUUGUGUAUGAGACGUGACGUCUGCCCAGUGCAAGUAUCUCAAACCUCUUUUCAAGGAGGCUAAGGACUUGUAAACGGCGGGAAUAUUUGUUGUAAGGCGGUAAAGGGAGUACUUAGUUCAAUAUAUAUUGAGUAUUGAGGCUGAAAGUAAAAGGAAAUUUUUGGAAAAUAUUCCUGUUGAACAUCCAGUACUCCUGAAAAACCUUUAACAAUUCUAGACUAUAAUUCUCUUAAGGUAGCGAAAUUAUCAUUAAUCUCGCUUUAGAUUUAAGAUGAAAAAAAGCCAUUCAUCUAAGAGAAUAGCCUUUGGGUUUGUUAAACAAAUGAGAGAAAAAUUUUAGCAAUGGGAUUAAUGAUAUCGUUGUACCUUGUCGUUUGAAUGACGACGCGCAUGAAUGGCGUAACGAGAUCCGCACUGUCCCUAGUUAGUGUCCACUGAAAAUACCCUUCUGGUGUGCAGGCCAGAGACCUCCAGCGGGAAGAAAAGACCCCGUAGAACUUUACUGUAGUUUGUUGUUGUGAUAUAGAUUCUACUGUGUAGCAUAGGUGGUAGUUGCUAUGCCUUGGCUGCUAGGUCAAGGAUAGACAAAACUGAAAUACCACUCUGCAGAAUUUAUGUUGCUUACUAACCUGUUAGGACAGCAGCAGAUAGACAGUUUGGCUGGGGCGGCACCCUGUUGAAAAGAUAUCAACAGGGCCCAAAGGUCAACUCAAGAUGUUUGGAAAUCAUCUGAAGAGUGCAAGAGCAAAAGUUGGCUUGACUGGAUUUUGACCAUUAAAAAAUCCAGAGACAAAAGUCUGGUCUAGCGAACCCCUAUGUCCUUAUUAAUAGGGGCUAGGUAUGACAGAAAAGCUAUCUCGGGGAUAAUCUAGGAGAAACAUCAAAAGAUUAUAUACAACUAUCACCGAGUAUUAAAUAUGAAUAAAAAAUUUGCAUAUUUAAUCGGUGUGUUGCAUGAUGCACAUAUUAUCAACAAGAAAUCAAAUUCCCAAUAUGGUUUUGAAAUUGAGCAAAAAAAUAAAAAAUACGCUGAAUUUUUGUCAACUUUCUUUUCACAGUUAUUCAAAAUUGAAAAACCAAAGUUAGAAUUACGUGAAAGAAGUUGGGGAAAUUAUUGGCGUAUUAGAAUUUAUUCAAAGAAAAUAUUUGAAGAAAUUGUUCAAUAUGACUUUACAAAAAUAAUUAAGUCGCAAUCAAAACAAAUUAAAAAGGAAAUGAUUCGAGGAUUUUAUGAUGCUGAAGGAUCAGUAAGCAGUGAUGAAGUAAGAAUGUUUAAUAAAAAUACAAAACUCUUAGAAACUUUGCAUGAUAUUUUAUCUACUGAGUUUAAUUUAAGACUUGGAAAGAUAGUUGUAUCAAAGGAUGAUGUUUAUCAGCUUCCAAUUUAUGCGAAAAAUGAUAAAAACAAGUUUAUGAAAAUUUUCAAACCAAUUCAUCCUGAUAAGUUUAAGAUUUUCUCUUAGAUCCCUAGAACUGAGUCGUAGCGCCUAAGAGCUCAUAUCGAUGGCGCUGUUUGCUACUUCGACGUCGGCUCACCAUAUCCUGGCUGUGCAGAAUGUCGCAGGCAAAAUUAACUCAAUAGUUUUUCUAACCAAAAAAUUCUAAGUCUUUUCUUCAAAUUCUGUUAGUCAGAAGAAUUAAAAAUCUUCAAAAAGAAAAGACUAGUUAGAACUAUAAUAAUUUCAUAUUCAUUUUUAGAAAUUAUUGAGAAAAAUUUUGUCCUUCGAACUGUAGGCAGCCAAGGGUGGGGGUGUUCACCCAUUAAAAUGGUUCGUGAGCUGGGUUAAGGAACGGUUGUAAGCAAAUGUAUAAGCAAACUAAAACAUCUCUGUAUAUUUGCUGAAGUGAGGUUUAAGUCCUCCCGUUUAAUAUAACGUUGUGAGACAGUUUGGAUUAUAUCUACUGGAGGUGCAUAAUAUCUGAGGGUAAGGAUCAUUUAGUACGAGAGGAACGGUGAUUCGGAGCCUCUGGUCUAUCGGUUGUCUGACAAGGCAGGCCGAGCAGCUACGCUCUAAUGGAUAACUCCUGAAAGCAUCUAAGGAGGAAGCCAAACUCAAAACGAGAUAUAGGACGCUCAAAGAACAUGAGCUUGAUAGGACUGAAGUGUAAGUAUGAAGCUUCGGCGACAUAUUCAGCUUGCAGUUACUAAUCGUCCAAAACCAUCAAACU
This 4031-nucleotide ribosomal RNA is filed under the name Candidatus Woesearchaeota archaeon. RNAcentral's name for it is "23S ribosomal RNA". It matches the Rfam family "Archaeal large subunit ribosomal RNA". The record is from RNAcentral. Lineage: Archaea; Nanobdellati; Candidatus Woesearchaeota.